UCCGUAGUCGGUUGUGCAAGUCCUCUGUUAAAACCUGCGGCUUAACCGUAGGAGUGCAGAGGAUACUACGUGGCUCGAGGCCGGGAGAGGCAAGGGGUAUUUCCGGGGUAGCGGUGAAAUGCUAUAAUCCUGGGAGGACCACCGACAGCGAAAGCACCUUGCUAGAACGGGCCUGACGAUGAGGGACGAAAGCGUGGGGAGCGAACAGGAUUAGAUACCCUGGUAGUCC
This 229-nucleotide ribosomal RNA is filed under the name uncultured bacterium. Its description in RNAcentral is "partial 16S ribosomal RNA". It matches the Rfam family "Bacterial small subunit ribosomal RNA", at positions 568 to 796 of the family's 1533-position model. The record is from RNAcentral.